GGAAUCUUGCGCAAUGGGCGAAAGCCUGACGCAGCCAUGCCGCGUGAAUGAUGAAGGUCUUAGGAUUGUAAAGUUCUUUCGCCCGUGACGAUAAUGACGGUACCCGGAGAAGAAGCCCCGGCUACCUCCGUGCCAGCAGCCGCGGUAAUACGGAGGGGGCUAGCGUCGUUCGGAAUUACUGGGCGUAAAGCGCGCGUAGGCGGGCUGUUAAGUCGGGGGUGAAAUCCCGGGGCUCAACCCCGGAACUGCCUUCGAUACUGGCAGCCUGGAGUCCGAGAGAGGUGAGUGGAAUUCCGAGUGUAGAGGUGAAAUUCGUAGAUAUUCGGAGGAACACCAGUGGCGAAGGCGGCUCACUGGCUCGGUACUGACGCUGAGGUGCGAAAGCGUGGGGAGCAAAC
This 398-nucleotide ribosomal RNA is filed under the name uncultured bacterium. RNAcentral's name for it is "bacterial SSU rRNA". It matches the Rfam family "Bacterial small subunit ribosomal RNA", at positions 358 to 773 of the family's 1533-position model. The record is from RNAcentral.